GACGAACGCUGGCGGCGUGCUUAACACAUGCAAGUCGAACGGUGAACGAGGGAGCUUGCUCCCUCCGGAUCAGUGGCGAACGGGUGAGUAACACGUGAGCAAUCUGCCCCGAACUCUGGGAUAAGCGUUGGAAACGACGUCUAAUACCGGAUACGACGCGGGAGGGCAUCCUCUCCGCGUGGAAAGAACUUCGGUUCGGGAUGAGCUCGCGGCCUAUCAGCUUGUUGGUGAGGUAACGGCUCACCAAGGCGACGACGGGUAGCCGGCCUGAGAGGGUGACGGCCCAAACGGGGACUGAGACCCGGCCCAGACCCCUCGGGGGGGGAGGGGUGGGGAAUUUUGCCAAAGGGGCGAAAGCCUGGUGCAGCAACCCCGGGGGGGGGACGACGGCCUUGGGGUUGGAAACCCUUUUUAGCGGGGAAGAAGGGAAAGGGAGGGAACCGGCAAAAAAAGCCCCGGCUAACUAGGG
Molecule: ribosomal RNA, 469 nt
Filed under: uncultured bacterium
Lineage: Bacteria
Description: partial 16S ribosomal RNA
Rfam family: Bacterial small subunit ribosomal RNA
Source: RNAcentral